GUAACAAGGUCUCCGUUGGUGAACCAGCGGAGGGAUCAUUACCGAGUUUACAACUCCCAAACCCCUGUGAACAUACCACUUGUUGCCUCGGCGGAUCAGCCCGCUCCCGGUAAAACGGGACGGCCCGCCAGAGGACCCCUAAACUCUGUUUCUAUAUGUAACUUCUGAGUAAAACCAUAAAUAAAUCAAAACUUUCAACAACGGAUCUCUUGGUUCUGGCAUCGAUGAAGAACGCAGCAAAAUGCGAUAAGUAAUGUGAAUUGCAGAAUUCAGUGAAUCAUCGAAUCUUUGAACGCACAUUGCGCCCGCCAGUAUUCUGGCGGGCAUGCCUGUUCGAGCGUCAUUUCAACCCUCAAGCACAGCUUGGUGUUGGGACUCGCGUUAAUUCGCGUUCCCCAAAUUGAUUGGCGGUCACGUCGAGCUUCCAUAGCGUAGUAGUAAAACCCUCGUUACUGGUAAUCGUCGCGGCCACGCCGUUAAACCCCAACUUCUGAAUGUUGACCUCGGAUCAGGUAGGAAUACCCGCUGAACUUAAGCAUAUCA
RNAcentral lists this unclassified non-coding RNA (543 nucleotides) under Fusarium oxysporum. RNAcentral describes it as "sequence contains 18S rRNA gene, ITS1, 5.8S rRNA gene, ITS2, 28S rRNA gene". The stretch from base 190 to 343 matches the Rfam family "5.8S ribosomal RNA". Lineage: Eukaryota; Fungi; Ascomycota; Sordariomycetes; Hypocreales; Nectriaceae. The record is from RNAcentral.